CCUACGGGAGGCUGCAGUGGGGAAUCUUGCACAAUGGAGGAAACUCUGAUGCAGCGACGCCGCGUGAGCGAAGAAGCCUUUCGGGGUGUAAAGCUCUUACGCCAGGGACGAUAAUGACGGUACCUGGAGAAGCAGCUGCGGCUAACUACGUGCCAGCAGCCGCGGUAAUACGUAGGCAGCAAGCGUUGUUCGGAAUUACUGGGCGUAAAGGGUGCGUAGGCGGCGCUCUAAGUUUGGUGUGAAAUCUCCCGGCUUAACUGGGAGGGUGCACUGAAGACUGGGGCGCUGGAGUAUGGGAGAGGAAAGCGGAAUUCCUGGUGUAGCGGUGAAAUGCGUAGAGAUCAGGAGGAACACCUGCGGUGUAGACGGCUUUCUGGACCAUCACUGACGCUGAGGCACGAAAGCGUGGGUAGCAAACAGGAUUAGAUACCCGGGUAGUC
Molecule: ribosomal RNA, 440 nt
Filed under: uncultured bacterium
Lineage: Bacteria
Description: partial 16S ribosomal RNA
Rfam family: Bacterial small subunit ribosomal RNA
Source: RNAcentral